UUGCCGGCGACCGGCGCACGGGUGAGUAACGCGUAUCCCACUCUUCCGUACACUCAGGGAUAGCCUUUCGAAAGAAAGAUUAAUACCUGAUGGUAUGAUGAGAUUGCAUGAUAGCAUCAUUAAAGAUUCAUCGGUGUACGAUGGGGAUGCGUUCCAUUAGGUAGUAGGCGGGGUAACGGCCCACCUAGCCGACGAUGGAUAGGGGUUCUGGGAGGAAGGUCCCCCACAUUGGAACUGAGACACGGUCCAAACUCCUACGGGAGGCAGCAGUGAGGAAUAUUGGUCAAUGGACGAGAGUCUGAACCAGCCAAGUAGCGUGAAGGAUGAAGGUCCUACGGAUUGUAAACUUCUUUUAUAAGGGAAUAAACCCUCCCACGUGUGGGAGCUUGUAUGUACCUUAUGAAUAAGCAUCGGCUAACUCCGUGCCAGCAGCCGCGGUAAUACGGAGGAUGCGAGCGUUAUCCGGAUUUAUUGGGUUUAAAGGGAGCGCAGACGGGUCGUUAAGUCAGCUGUGAAAGUUUGGGGCUCAACCUUAAAAUUGCAGUUGAUACUGGCGUCCUUGAGUGCGGUUGAGGUGUGCGGAAUUCGUGGUGUAGCGGUGAAAUGCUUAGAUAUCACGAAGAACUCCGAUUG
RNAcentral lists this ribosomal RNA (633 nucleotides) under uncultured Bacteroides sp. RNAcentral describes it as "bacterial SSU rRNA". It matches the Rfam family "Bacterial small subunit ribosomal RNA", at positions 85 to 715 of the family's 1533-position model. Lineage: Bacteria; Pseudomonadati; Bacteroidota; Bacteroidia; Bacteroidales; Bacteroidaceae. The record is from RNAcentral.